Long non-coding RNA from Nicotiana tabacum (common tobacco), 1070 nucleotides. RefSeq lists it as uncharacterized. NCBI's taxonomy places the organism in Eukaryota, Viridiplantae, Streptophyta, Magnoliopsida, Solanales, Solanaceae. The record is from RefSeq and is a predicted model, not a curated record.
UAAACGAGUGGACUCAACUUCCAUGAAUAUCUUCUCUACUUUUUCUCUUUUCUUUUUCAUUUCCUUUACCUUUAAUUUCUUCUAUAUUUUUUUCUUACUCCUUACCCGUUAUAACAGAAACGAUUGUAUAUAAAUCCAUAGAUUGAUUUUGGGUUUACAUGAAAUCAAAAACAAUUCUAUCCAUAUAUCUGUCAACCACAUCCAAUGAGAGAGCGAAGUAUUUUGGUUUUGAAAUCAUGUCCUUACUGAAGAAGAAAAGGCACCCAUCUUCUCUAACAUCUCAUUCUUUUGGCAUGAAGCUUGGGCUAAAAUUUCAACCAAACAUAAAUAGAUUUCCAAGAACAAGAGGACUCGGGUUCGGUUACCAGAAUUUUAAAGCUCAAGUCUGCAUUUUUAUCAGACAAGUAGAAGGCAACCACGUCAUGCCUGCAAAAUUGCGCGUGGAUUGUCUCAAUGCUUAACCUUGUCAGCAAAGAAAUUGAAAAUUAUCAUUGUCUAUGAUAAGAAUAUUGGAAGAUGGACUCCCGAUAUGAAAUCCAACUCAAAAAGGAGUAAUCUACACCAAAGGCAAUAAAAGGCACUGCCAUAAGCUCACAAAGUGCGGACCGCACAUGAAUUGUGCAACCGCAAAACCUGGGCUAGGAACAAAGUUCAGAGAAUGUGCAAAUUCUCAAGUUUCAAGUCCCUUAGAAGUGCGGACCGCACAAGAAUUGUGCGGCCGCAGAAGUAAAAGUGCGGACCGCAGAACCAAGUUGCAACCGCAGUUACAAAUCUGCGGACUGCAGAAAGAUUGCUUCGCGGCCGCAUAUCAGAAUUAUGCGGCCGCAGACCUCCAAGUCCUGAUAAGUUGAAGAAAUAUGCGGACCGCACAUGAAAUUGUGCGGCCACAGAACCUCCCGAGGGGUAUUUUUGUCCGAAAUUAUCAGCUUUAUAUAAAUAGAAGAGUUUCACGAAAUUAGGUCAACUUUUGACAUCAGUAGCUACAAUAGGCGUUUCUCUUUACUUCUUUUAGUAGUUUUUCAUAUUUUGGGAUAUUUUAACAUAGAUUUUAUCAUUUUGAUUUCACAAUA